ACGAUUUCUGCCUACAUCGCCCAGUGAGCAGUGAGCUGAGCAAGUGGCGAUUGAAUAUGACGUUCCAUUUUGUUCUAUAAAGGCCCUCCCCUUUCUUCGUCACGUCCUCUUUCAAUUUGGUGUCUUCGCUGUAGAGACACAUCUCCACAAGAUGAGAGCAAAGUGGAGGAAGAAGCGUAUGCGCAGGUAAGGAUCAUUUC
This 200-nucleotide long non-coding RNA is filed under the name Oncorhynchus kisutch (coho salmon). Its description in RNAcentral is "lncRNA (ENSOKIG00005004399.1)". The record is from RNAcentral. Lineage: Eukaryota; Metazoa; Chordata; Actinopteri; Salmoniformes; Salmonidae.